Molecule: ribosomal RNA, 459 nt
Filed under: uncultured bacterium
Lineage: Bacteria
Description: partial 16S ribosomal RNA
Rfam family: Bacterial small subunit ribosomal RNA
Source: RNAcentral
CCUACGGGUGGCAGCAGUGAGGAAUAUUGGUCAAUGGCCGGAAGGCUGAACCAGCCAAGCCGCGUGAAGGACGAAGGUGCCAAGCAUUGUAAACUUCUUUUGUCAAGGGACAAAAUCAGUCUCGAGAGCCUGACCGAGGGUACUUGAAGAAAAAGCAUCGGCUAACCACGUGCCAGCAGCCGCGGUAAUACGGAGGAUGCGAGCGUUAUCCGGAUUUAUUGGGUUUAAAGGGUGAGUAGGCGGACGGUUAAGUCAGCGGUAAAAGCCCGGGGCUCAACCCCGGCGAGCCGUUGAAACUGGGUGGCUUGAGAUGUCGAGAGGUAUGCGGAAUGCGCAGUGUAGCGGUGAAAUGCUUAGAUAUUGCGCAGAACUCCGAUUGCGAAGGCAGCAUACCGGCGGCGAUCUGACGCUGAGGCACGAAAGCGUGGGUAUCGAACAGGAUUAGAUACCCCAGUAGUC